This 1567-nucleotide ribosomal RNA is filed under the name Lactiplantibacillus pentosus. RNAcentral describes it as "16S ribosomal RNA". It matches the Rfam family "Bacterial small subunit ribosomal RNA". The record is from RNAcentral. Lineage: Bacteria; Bacillati; Bacillota; Bacilli; Lactobacillales; Lactobacillaceae.
UAAUUUGAGAGUUUGAUCCUGGCUCAGGACGAACGCUGGCGGCGUGCCUAAUACAUGCAAGUCGAACGAACUCUGGUAUUGAUUGGUGCUUGCAUCAUGAUUUACAUUUGAGUGAGUGGCGAACUGGUGAGUAACACGUGGGAAACCUGCCCAGAAGCGGGGGAUAACACCUGGAAACAGAUGCUAAUACCGCAUAACAACUUGGACCGCAUGGUCCGAGUUUGAAAGAUGGCUUCGGCUAUCACUUUUGGAUGGUCCCGCGGCGUAUUAGCUAGAUGGUGGGGUAACGGCUCACCAUGGCAAUGAUACGUAGCCGACCUGAGAGGGUAAUCGGCCACAUUGGGACUGAGACACGGCCCAAACUCCUACGGGAGGCAGCAGUAGGGAAUCUUCCACAAUGGACGAAAGUCUGAUGGAGCAACGCCGCGUGAGUGAAGAAGGGUUUCGGCUCGUAAAACUCUGUUGUUAAAGAAGAACAUAUCUGAGAGUAACUGUUCAGGUAUUGACGGUAUUUAACCAGAAAGCCACGGCUAACUACGUGCCAGCAGCCGCGGUAAUACGUAGGUGGCAAGCGUUGUCCGGAUUUAUUGGGCGUAAAGCGAGCGCAGGCGGUUUUUUAAGUCUGAUGUGAAAGCCUUCGGCUCAACCGAAGAAGUGCAUCGGAAACUGGGAAACUUGAGUGCAGAAGAGGACAGUGGAACUCCAUGUGUAGCGGUGAAAUGCGUAGAUAUAUGGAAGAACACCAGUGGCGAAGGCGGCUGUCUGGUCUGUAACUGACGCUGAGGCUCGAAAGUAUGGGUAGCAAACAGGAUUAGAUACCCUGGUAGUCCAUACCGUAAACGAUGAAUGCUAAGUGUUGGAGGGUUUCCGCCCUUCAGUGCUGCAGCUAACGCAUUAAGCAUUCCGCCUGGGGAGUACGGCCGCAAGGCUGAAACUCAAAGGAAUUGACGGGGGCCCGCACAAGCGGUGGAGCAUGUGGUUUAAUUCGAAGCUACGCGAAGAACCUUACCAGGUCUUGACAUACUAUGCAAAUCUAAGAGAUUAGACGUUCCCUUCGGGGACAUGGAUACAGGUGGUGCAUGGUUGUCGUCAGCUCGUGUCGUGAGAUGUUGGGUUAAGUCCCGCAACGAGCGCAACCCUUAUUAUCAGUUGCCAGCAUUAAGUUGGGCACUCUGGUGAGACUGCCGGUGACAAACCGGAGGAAGGUGGGGAUGACGUCAAAUCAUCAUGCCCCUUAUGACCUGGGCUACACACGUGCUACAAUGGAUGGUACAACGAGUUGCGAACUCGCGAGAGUAAGCUAAUCUCUUAAAGCCAUUCUCAGUUCGGAUUGUAGGCUGCAACUCGCCUACAUGAAGUCGGAAUCGCUAGUAAUCGCGGAUCAGCAUGCCGCGGUGAAUACGUUCCCGGGUCUUGUACACACCGCCCGUCACACCAUGAGAGUUUGUAACACCCAAAGUCGGUGGGGUAACCUUUUAGGAACCAGCCGCCUAAGGUGGGACAGAUGAUUAGGGUGAAGUCGUAACAAGGUAGCCGUAGGAGAACCUGCGGCUGGAUCACCUCCUUU